Long non-coding RNA from Prinia subflava (tawny-flanked prinia), 3857 nucleotides. RefSeq lists it as uncharacterized. Lineage: Eukaryota; Metazoa; Chordata; Aves; Passeriformes; Cisticolidae. The transcript is spliced from 3 exons. The record is from RefSeq and is a predicted model, not a curated record.
UGUGAGCUGUGCCCUCCUUCUGCCCUCCUUCUGCUCCCCGACACAACCAGCCACAGCAGUGAGCUGAAACUCGCCUGUGUUCCAGGGAAUUUGGGGGACUGCAAGCCUCACUGUCAUCUCAUUGCAAAUUAGAAGACAGUUUCAGACAACAGUGCGGACAGAGAGAGAGAAGAACUCUGUGAGAGAGCUGCACUCAGAAAUGGGCCCUUGCCACAGCAACUAUCCUUAUUUCCCACUGAAACGGUGGAACCCGAAAUGAAAUUGUGUCACCAGCAAGGAGUGAAGUAUUUUGCCCUUAGAUGGCUGCAGUCCAAGCAAGUGAAAUUUGUGACUUGUCACUUCAAUGAGAACACUCACACCUGGGACCCUGCGACUGAACAUGUGGAGAUCUGAAAUGUGUCUGAAAAUAAUGGAGUGAAAAGAAAUCAAGUCCCAGUAUGAAGGCAAACCAAGUUUGCUUCUGGAGUGUAUUGAAAACAACAGAAAAAGUUCCUGUUUGCUUCAGACUGUUUUUUUCUACGAGGUUUGCAGUUUUUUCUCUUGCCUGUGUUAAAACAGUAAGAAACUCAGUGACUAACACAAAGUUAUAAUAGAUUUUCUUGCAUUAUUACAGCAUGUCGCAUAAUGCCAACACUGAAAAACAAUAUCUGUACAAAGUUUGUUUUUAGAAUUUCUUGAGAGGAAAUUUAAAAAUGCUCAUUUCUAUUAUUUCCAUUUUACAAAUAUUUAAAAGUAUUUCCUUUUUUAAUUUUCAAUAGUACUGUUUAAAAGUUGUCCUACUCAUAUGUUCUGUUCACUAUGUAUAAAUUUUUCCUUCUAAUAAUUUCUUGACAGGAUAUAUUUACUGUUAUUCAAUCAGCUGUAUUCUUACAACAGUGCUGCUGUAAAUCACUCUGUACUUGUGACUAUUUCCUACAAAAUUGUCAAAUACUUACAGUUCAGAGUCAUGACACUCUUGAGGGAUUUGCUACCAUCUCAAGACUGCAGAGAACCAAAAGGAGUCAAAGAUGACAGUCCUGCUUAGGUGACGAAGCGUAAAGAAGUUUCUUGAUGCCAUAGACUUAUUAAUCACAAACAACACUUCUUAAAUCAGAUGUAUUUUAAGAUUUAAAAAAAUGCUUCUAACAAUUUCUUUCUUCCCUCAUGGUGCCCAGCAGAGGCAACUAGUAAUAUUUAAUAAAAAAUAAAGAUAUUCUGAAUGCUCUUUUGUGUACUGUAGUUGAAUUCUACCUCCUGUCCAAAGUAACAUGAACAAAUCAUGUGUAAAGAUUGUCAUCUGGCAAAUACUGUCAGCCUCUAUCUUCCAAUAGAAUAAAUAUAUUUAAAGAACAUGCAUGUUAGAUGUGUGCUACGUUCUAAUUCUACUUAAAUAAUAUAUGUACUUUACUUAAAUAAUAUAUAUACACACAUAUUAAAUCCUUCCCAGCAGCAACAAAAAAACUAAAUGAAAAUAUAAAUCUUAUUUUUACUUCUACAGAAAAUGCUAUAGUAAUAAAAUCAUAUGAUAAAGGCUUGCCAGUUAAUGAAAUUGAACAUGUCAUUAUAAUGAUGAUUUUAAAGAAGUCCAAAAUGUAAAUUCAUACAUCUUGUCUUUAUCUAGUAUCUUUCUCUGCUUGAGCAUUUAGUUUCUUUAACUUGUGUUUCAUUUACUGUCAAGAAGGUAAAUAGCAUGACCUGGAAAAUAUUGAUCUAGGCAAUGCAGCUGAAAAUAAACAAAACAAACAAACAAACAAACCAAAGCCCCACAUAAUUAUGAAUAACAUUCAGCAAGAUUUGCAUGAAAAUAGAUCUGUCAAAAAUUGUAUUGUUAAAUUCACAAAGUGGAUUGAUAAGAAAAGUGUGCUGAAAUAACAAAUUCCAUAAGGAAUAUAGUCUCCCAAUACAAUAUAUUGGUAUAAUACAGUCUAUGUGAUACAUACAGCAAAUAUUGUACAGGCUAAGUUACCAACGGAAUGUAAAAGGCAAUUGUAAACUGAAAUCAUUGUCCAACAGGGGGUUUCUAGUGGGUCUCUCUGGGAUUUAUUCUGUGUCUACAUACACUGUCCUUGGUUGCGGUAGGAAAAACAGUAUAAAAUCAUUGCUGGUAACAUUAGCAAAUGAUUAAAAAAUAAAAGGUAAAUAGAAAAUAAUGACAGGGACUGAUAAGAUAUAUUGGGGAAAUGAGCUCAUUGUAACACAAGUGAAUGUCAGGUCAUGAUUCCAGGAACAAAGAAACCAAUGUUAAAAUAGGGUUUCCUCCUGCAAACACGUCCUCUAAGACUAGGAAAGAUGGAGGGGAUAUAAGUAUAAACAGCUAGAGCUGCAUGAAAUUACAGCACGAUGUAAAGCCACUUUGGAUUGUAUGAACUUAGAGACAAUGCUACCACAUUGAUGACAAUACUGUGAUUAAUGCUGGAUAUGUCACUUCAGUAUUGUUGACUGUACUUCCUAAAGGAAACUUGAAGAUAAAGAGAAUCAGUGCAAAAUUAGUCUAGUAGCUGAAAUGGUUCUAUAGUGCACUGAUUCUUAAAAAUCCAGAACUCCUAGCAUAGUAAAGGCCAUUUUAAGGAAUAACUCGGUAUCUUAACCUAGUGAAUGUAAAAAAUGUUGCAACUAUUGCAAUUCUUCAGACAGUAGCUAAGUCUAAAGUACAGCUUUUAAGAAAACACUUUACAGAAUGGUUGUUGUCUUCACAUUUUCAUUUACAUGCAUGUUUUAAAACCAGCUAUAAAAAGUGUUUCUCAAUGUACCUAAGAAAGGGGGAAGGUCUGACUCAAGACUUCACCAAAAGGAUUUUUUACCUCCUGCAGGCCACCUCUGACUGUAGAGUCAAUAGCUGUUUCCUUGAGAAAAGAGCUCAGAACCAGGACUGUGCUGAUGUAAUGCUCUGCACGUCUUCUCCCUUCCUGGUCUUGCUGCAUUAAAAUUUGGUUUUGCCCUCUUAGUGCCUUGGAGACUACACUGGACUGCUGGGUUCAGUGUCUGUCUUCAGACAGACACCAUUUCAAAUACAUUCCUAUCUUAACACCCUAGAAAUUAAUUAAUUAUAAAAGAAUGCAUUUUGUACAUAUUUUUUUAAUCUGUAUUUUAAGUCUUUGUUCUUUGAUCUGGUUUUGUUGUUUUAGUUUUUUAUAUUCAGUGAGAUGUAAAAAGCCUAAUUUAUUUUCAUGCUGUAUGAAACACAGAGUUCCAUACCAGGUACAGUAAAGUCUUGGGACAGCAGUGAUUACAAAGAAAACUUUUGACUGGUAAACUGAAGUAAUGGAAAUAAAAUCAAGUAACAUAUAUAUGUAAGCACUUAAGUCCCUAAGGUGUUUUCACAACAAGAUCAUUCUAUAAAAGCCUUUUUUAAUAUAUUUCUUCAUGAUUUUGUCUUCAAUUGCCAUCUGACCUUAAUAAAACUGCCCUGGCUGCUUUACAGGGCAUAACGUACUGUUCCUAAUGGUCUCUUGCAAACAGCAGCAUUUUUAUAGUGUUCUCUGAUAAUCUUUCAGAGCUGAGCCCAGUUCCUGAUAAAUUGGUGUUAUUCUCCCAGGCUGAUUGUGAGCAGUUAUUAAACAGGUAACAUGGUAUAAAACAUAACAAAGGGUUUAUGUCUGCAAAAUUUUAGAUAAAGUGUGAAAAUUUAUAUUUAGGUGGAGAAAAAUUAUUCUUCAUAUGGGUUUCUUUUGUUUGUAAUAGGAGCCACUAAUCCUAAGACCGAUGAAAAUAUUGUGUGUAUUCUAAAUAUUCUGCUCUGCUAAUGCACUGAUUUUAGCAAAGAUUUGCAAUAGUGAUGUUUAUACAUUUUUUAUCACCAAUUAAAAGAUGGGUUUGCACUAUUUUUCUCCAAUGCCUGGGCUUUUUUUAUUGUUUACUGGUCUCUGUUGUGUGAUGUU